GACGAACGCUGGCGGCGUGCCUAAUACAUGCAAGUUGAGCGCUGAAGGUUGGUACUUGUACCAACUGGAUGAGCAGCGAACGGGUGAGUAACGCGUGGGUAAUCUGCCUUUGAGCGGGGGACAACAUUUGGAAACGAAUGCUAAUACCGCAUAAAAACUUUAAACACAAGUUUUAAGUUUGAAAGAUGCAAUUGCAUCACUCAAAGAUGAUCCCGCGUUGUAUUAGCUAGUUGGUGAGGUAAAGGCUAACCAAGGCGAUGAUACAUAGCCGACCUGAGAGGGUGAUCGGCCACAUUGGGACUGAGAAACGGCCCAAACUCCUACGGGAGGCAGCAGUAGGGAAUCUUCGGCAAUGGACGAAAGUCUGAACGAGCAACGCCGCGUGAGUGAAGAAGGUUUUCGGAUCGUAAAACUCUGUUGGUAGAGAAGAACGUUGGUGAGAGUGGAAAGCUCAUCAAGUGACGGUAACUAACCAGAAAGGGACGGCUAACUACGUG
Molecule: ribosomal RNA, 497 nt
Filed under: uncultured bacterium
Lineage: Bacteria
Description: partial 16S ribosomal RNA
Rfam family: Bacterial small subunit ribosomal RNA
Source: RNAcentral